This 781-nucleotide ribosomal RNA is filed under the name uncultured bacterium. RNAcentral describes it as "bacterial SSU rRNA". It matches the Rfam family "Bacterial small subunit ribosomal RNA", at positions 8 to 796 of the family's 1533-position model. The record is from RNAcentral.
AGAGUUUGAUCCUGGCUCAGGAUGAACGCUAGCGGCAGGCCUAAUACAUGCAAGUCGAACGGAUGUAGCAAUACAUUAGUGGCGCACGGGUGCGUAACGCGUAUGCAACCUACCUUUCAGUGGGGGGAUAGCCCGGGGAAACCCGGAUUAAUACCGCAUAAGAUAGUUGAAUGGCAUCAUUUAAUUAUGAAACAUUUAUGGCUGAAAGAUGGGCAUGCGUUAGAUUAGCUAGUUGGUGAGGUAGAAGCUCACCAAGGCGAUGAUCUAUAGGGGUUCUGAGAGGAAGAUCCCCCACACUGGUACUGAGACAGGGACCAGACUCCUACGGGAGGCAGCAGUAGGGAAUAUUGGGCAAUGGAGGCAACUCUGACCCAGCUAUGCCGCGUGCAGGAAGAAGGCCUUCUGGGUUGUAAACUGCUUUUGGAAGGGAACAAAAAGACACUGCGGUGUAAAUUGAGUGUACCUUCAGAAUAAGCACCGGCUAACUCCGUGCCAGCAGCCGCGGUAAUACGGAGGGUGCAAGCGUUGUCCGGAUUUAUUGGGUUUAAAGGGUGCGUAGGCGGCUUAUUAAGUCAGGGGUGAAAGACGAUUGCUUAACGAUCGCAGUGCCUUUGAUACUGAUGAGCUUGAGUACAGAUGAGGCGGGCGGAAUGGGUGGUGUAGCGGUGAAAUGCAUAGAUACCAUCCAGAACACCGAUUGCGAAGGCAGCCUGCUAAACUGUAACUGACGCUGAGGCACGAAAGCGUGGGGAUCGAACAGGAUUAGAUACCCUAGUAGUCC